Molecule: ribosomal RNA, 252 nt
Filed under: uncultured bacterium
Lineage: Bacteria
Description: partial 16S ribosomal RNA
Rfam family: Bacterial small subunit ribosomal RNA
Source: RNAcentral
GACGGGGGGGGCAAGUGUUCUUCGGAAUGACUGGGCGUAAGGGCACGUAGGCGGUGAAUCGGGUUGAAAGUGAAAGUCGCCAAAAAGUGGCGGAAUGCUCUCGAAACCAAUUCACUUGAGUUGAGACAGAGGAGAGUGGAAUUUCGUGUGUAGGGGUGAAAUCCGUAGAUCUACGAAGGAACGCCAAAAGCGAAGGCAGCUCUCUGGGUCCCUACCGACGCUGGGGUGCGAAAGCAUGGGGAGCGAACAGGG